CUCUCUCUCUCUCUCUCUCUCUCUCUCUCUCUCUCUCUUUUUGCUUAAAGUCUAGACCGCGCCCCUCGUCCCCUAAGCCUGAGCUACCUCAUACGCGGCUGCCGCAGAACAGCUGCUCAAGGUUGACCCUGGAGACAAAGUUCCUCCAGCCUGGAAUGCGGCAACUUGGAGUCCAGCACAAGCCCAGAACUUCCCUGAAGCCCUUCCCCAGGGAUGGUGUGGAGACUCCAGGAAGGGAUUGCUUGAAGCAUGCUUCUCCCCAGUGCUGAUUCAGGACCAACUCCUCAGAGGCCUUAAGGGAGCCUUGGAAAAGGGGCUGAAAAAGUGAAGGAGAGACCAAGGACCAAUUGUAGUCUGCCAAGAAAAGGUGUUUCUUCAUCUUCCAAGACAGCUUGUGCCCACACAGCCUGGAGGGAAGAGCUGGGCUUCUAGUGAGAUGAUUUCUAGAAUUUCCCUGAAACCUACAGCUACUUCAUUGCCGUAAGCCUCAGUUUACCUGUCUGGAAAGUGGGCAGAACAGCAAUGCCGACUCCUUAGAAGAUCCUUUCAGGGCAGCUCCCGCGCAGGGUGGGCAUACACGGACGCUUCUGUUUCUCUUGUUCUUCUGAGAAACCAUGUGACUGUACUGAUGGACAGGGAAUAUGUGCCUUCUCGACCCACUCAAUGCUGAGCUGUAGACAGAUUUUGAUUCCAGAUCAGUGAGACCUGGAAAUGAAGGCACUGCCUUUGUGGUGAGCCUGAGUGGGGCUCAGCCUGAGUGGUGGCCAUCAAUAGAGCACUGACUUAUAUAAAGUAACCACUCAGUAAGUGCCUCCUAGAUGAAAUAAAAA
Molecule: long non-coding RNA, 830 nt
Organism: Meriones unguiculatus (Mongolian gerbil)
Lineage: Eukaryota; Metazoa; Chordata; Mammalia; Rodentia; Muridae
Exons: 3
Source: RefSeq, a predicted model, not a curated record